UACGUAGGGGGCAAACGUUGUCCGGAAUCAUUGGGCGUAAAGAGCGUGUAGGCGGCCCGGUAAGUCCGCUGUGAAAGUCCAGGGCUCAACCCUGGGAUGCCGGUGGAUACUGUCGGGCUCGAGUCCGGAAGAGGAGUGUGGAAUUCCUGGUGUAGCGGUGAAAUGCGCAGAUAUCAGGAGGAACACCAAUGGCUAAGGCAGCACUCUGGGACGUGACUGACGCUGAGACGCGAAAGCGUGGGGAGCAAACAGG
This 253-nucleotide ribosomal RNA is filed under the name uncultured bacterium. RNAcentral's name for it is "partial 16S ribosomal RNA". It matches the Rfam family "Bacterial small subunit ribosomal RNA", at positions 524 to 776 of the family's 1533-position model. The record is from RNAcentral.